RNAcentral lists this ribosomal RNA (502 nucleotides) under uncultured bacterium. RNAcentral describes it as "bacterial SSU rRNA". It matches the Rfam family "Bacterial small subunit ribosomal RNA", at positions 28 to 517 of the family's 1533-position model. The record is from RNAcentral.
GAUGAACGCUAGCGGCAGGCUUAACACAUGCAAGUCGAGGGGCAGCAUGAGACGGAGAUUCGUCGAAGUCUUGAUGGCGACCGGCGCAAGGGUGCGUAACGCGUGAGCAACUUGCCCGUUUCAGGGGGAUAACCGGUGGAAACGCCGACUAAUACCCCAUAGUAUCAUUUUAAGGCAUCUUUUAGUGAUUAAAGAAUUUCGGAAACGGAUAGGCUCGCGUGACAUUAGCUAGAUGGCGGGGUAACGGCCCACCAUGGCGACGAUGUCUAGGGGUUCUGAGAGGAAGGUCCCCCCACACUGGAACUGAGACACGGUCCAGACUCCUACGGGAGGCAGCAGUGAGGAAUAUUGGUCAAUGGUCUGACGACUGAACCAGCCAUGCCGCGUGAAGGUGACGGCCCUAUGGGUCUUAAACUUCUUUUGUAAGGGAGCAAUAAGUCUCACGUGUGGAUGAUGAGAGUACCUUACGAAUAAGCAUCGGCUAACUCCGUGCCAGCAGCCG